Molecule: long non-coding RNA, 273 nt
Filed under: Populus tremula
Lineage: Eukaryota; Viridiplantae; Streptophyta; Magnoliopsida; Malpighiales; Salicaceae
Description: long non-coding RNA (PTRE_LNC002515)
Source: RNAcentral
UUGAAUAAAAACAGAGCUUGAAACAGGGGAGAUGCAGUGAUUACAAAAAAAAGAUUGAAAAAUUGAUGAAAUUAAGAGAAAAUAAGAACUGGGUUUUGAAGAGGGAUGGUUUUAGAGGUGGGUUCUCAAUUUUGAGGGAUUUGGUGGAGAGGAGUUGGAGAAUUGAAGCAGUUGGAUUUCAAGAAAUAUCGGUUCAUUUUAAUAUCUAUCUCACUCUCUCUCUCUUACAUUGCUUUCUCCAUGACUCUCUCUCUUUGUUUUUCCACGUCUAUC